Molecule: ribosomal RNA, 705 nt
Filed under: uncultured Burkholderiales bacterium
Lineage: Bacteria; Pseudomonadati; Pseudomonadota; Betaproteobacteria; Burkholderiales
Description: bacterial SSU rRNA
Rfam family: Bacterial small subunit ribosomal RNA
Source: RNAcentral
CGGCAGCACGGACUUCGGUCUGGUGGCGAGUGGCGAACGGGUGAGUAAUAUAUCGGAACAUACCCAGUAGUGGGGGAUAACUAUCCGAAAGGAUAGCUAAUACCGCAUACGAUCUGUGGAUGAAAGCAGGGGAUCUUCGGACCUUGUGCUAUUGGAAUGGCCGAUAUCUGAUUAGCUAGUUGGUAGGGUAAAAGCCUACCAAGGCGACGAUCAGUAGCUGGUCUGAGAGGACGACCAGCCACACUGGAACUGAGACACGGUCCAGACUCCUACGGGAGGCAGCAGUGGGGAAUUUUGGACAAUGGGGGCAACCCUGAUCCAGCAAUGCCGCGUGAGUGAAGAAGGCCCUCGGGUUGUAAAGCUCUUUUGUCAGGGAAGAAACGGAGUUCUCUAAUAUAGGAUUCUAAUGACGGUACCUGAAGAAUAAGCACCGGCUAACUACGUGCCAGCAGCCGCGGUAAUACGUAGGGUGCAAGCGUUAAUCGGAAUUACUGGGCGUAAAGCGUGCGCAGGCGGUUUUGUAAGUCUGAUGUGAAAUCCCCGGGCUCAACCUGGGAACUGCAUUGGAGACUGCAAGGCUAGAGUGUGUCAGAGGGGGGUAGAAUUCCACGUGUAGCAGUGAAAUGCGUAGAGAUGUGGAGGAAUACCGAUGGCGAAGGCAGCCCCCUGGGAUAACACUGACGCUAAUGCACGAAAGCGUGGGAG